UUAGAUUUGAGAAGGGUCAGUGCUAUCCGGGAUCAUUGGGAAGUCCCUACAUCAUUGAAGUGGACAUUUAAAACGGUUAAUGGUAAGGUUAAGGUGAGGGUUUAGUGUAGGGACGUCCCAAGGACCCCGGAUAGCAUUGGCCGUUUGAGAAGUGCGCUCCUCUCACUGCUUUUGCCGGUUCACUGUAACGGGCCAUAGACCUGUGCACCGCAUAUCAGGUUAAUAGAACGGCCUCAAAAGCGAUUAAGGAAAGUUUCCAACCGUGUCACGGCGGUCAAAGCACCUAUUUCCCCUAAAACCUUUGUCGCGUUAAAAAAAAAAAAGGCAAUUCGGAUGCAUCCGUCUUCAGUGCGUCCACGACAACUGGGAACUCGGAAAGAAAUAGCUCCGACUGAGUAAAAUCGUUUUGAACGGUCAUCCAAAGAAAAUCACUGACGUCAUGAUUUGACCACGUUUUGUACGAGUUACCAGUUGACUUGAAAGCACCAUACAUUCUCGGAGCUACACUAGAGGACACGGUUAUCGGUAAUAUUACAGCAACAAAGCCAUCCGGACGCGUGGAGGCAAACUGAGAAUGACUACCACAUGAGCGAGAAUACCGGGGAGAGGCUCAUUUAACGGUAUUUCUCCGGUAUAGGCUAAGCGGUAGAGUCUACAGACAAAAAUAGAAGACAAUAUGAUAAGCAGAUCAUCUUUUGCUGACUCGAAUAUUCUACACACUGUCAGUCAACAACAAUAGAAUGUAGUUUUAUAUGUCCUAUUCUCUUCACGUUUCCUGCUAUUGUUCAGUAACAACGAUACUACUGCUGCUGACUCGUCCUCUGGCUUUGCAGCAUCCAAAGCAGAUCACUCAGGGGAUGAGGGCUCUUUGGCGCAGUCCGUGAGAGAUGAGGUGAAAGCUGGAUUAGUUAAAUAAGGACCCUCGGUAAAUCUUACGGAGAAACAGGGGACAGUAGCGGGGCUAACCUCUGCGGACAAACCGGAGGAGGACAGUGAAUGCCGAUUCGUGGGGAAGAUAACGGAUCCGGUGGCAGCGGACAGGAGGACAGUUUGGGAGGAGGGGAUCCACGCUGCUGAAGUUAGGAUCCACGCUGGCGCGCACGAGGAAAAUGUGAAAUCUGGCAUGUCUGGCCAACAGUGCUGUAACUCAAAUCCUGCCUCAGCGCCGGUGGACAUUCCAUGAAGUGACUUUGGUCACCUACAGUUCCCUGAGGGGUGGUCUUUUCUCUUAGCAGAUAUGGAAGAAGUGGACGCAGAAUAUGCGCCCAUGAAAUACGCCCCCAGGAUGCUGCGGACCAGACAGAUGGAGAUGAUGAAGAGCUGGAGAAGGAACAGAGGGUAGAGUUCACCACUGACUUUACCUCUCUGUAAGCCGAUCGGACAGACAGACAGACAUGCAGGCAGACAGGGGUUGUAGUAAAAGCAUGGUGAGGGCAGCAGAGUGGACACUCAGAUUCGUAAACCUUUGUGAUUUUCCCAGGGUGCAACGGGAGCAGCUGGCAGCCAUCUUCCAGCUGCUGAAGGAGAACCAGGAGAUGUUUGGGGAGAUGUCAGAGGGAGACAUGGAGGAGCAACUCUACUCCAUCUAAACCCCUAGUCUACUCACAGUCGACUGUACUACGUCUAACUCUACUUUUCCCAAACUCUACUCUAUGUUAAUCCCACAUAAAACUGACAAUCAAGACCAAGGUGCAUUCACACGGUCCACUGGGUUUCAAAGGGGGUGUUGUUUCAAAGGUCCACUCUAUUUUGAGGCACAUACUCUUCUCUAAAGAUUCUGAGGUGAUAGCUAAUCAGGCUUUGGAUAGUUGGGCCUGAGUGAUUUGAUUGGUCUGGUAAAAUCUGAGGUUCUUAUACCGUAGACACCCAUGAAAGCCAACAGUUUCAGCAAGCCUCACAUCAAACACUUAUCUGGACAGAUCUUACUCCUUUCAGCUAUUCCUUGCCUUGCCUCGGCCGUAUCCUUAUCUCACCCUUUCCUAUGGAGCACCCUUUCCCUCUAGACCCCUCUGUUUGAACAAACACAUCAUUGGUGCGAACACAAACAUGUACGUUAGAUACUUCAACACGGC
This 2072-nucleotide long non-coding RNA is filed under the name Salmo salar (Atlantic salmon). RNAcentral's name for it is "lncRNA (ENSSSAG00000064099.2)". The record is from RNAcentral. Lineage: Eukaryota; Metazoa; Chordata; Actinopteri; Salmoniformes; Salmonidae.